AUUGAACGCUGGCGGAAUGCUUUACACAUGCCAGUCGAGCGGCAGCACGGGGGCAACCCUGGUGGCGAGCGGCGAACGGGUGAGUAACACAUCGGAACAUGCCCAGUCGUGGGGGAUAACACUUCGAAAGAAGUGCUAAUACCGCAUACGUCCUGAGGGAGAAAGCGGGGGAUCGCAAGACCUCGCGCGAUUGGAGUGGCCGAUGUCAGAUUAGCUAGUUGGUGGGGUAAAGGCCUACCAAGGCAACGAUCUGUAGCUGGUCUGAGAGGAUGAUCAGCCACACUGGGACUGAGACACGGCCCAGACUCCUACGGGAGGCAGCAGUGGGGAAUUUUGGACAAUGGGGGCAACCCUGAUCCAGCCAUUCCGCGUGAGUGAAGAAGGCCUUCGGGUUGUAAAGCUCUUUCGGCAGGAACGAAACGGUGAGCUCUAACAUAGCUUGCUAAUGACGGUACCUGAAGAAGAAGCGCCGGCUAACUACGUG
Molecule: ribosomal RNA, 484 nt
Filed under: uncultured bacterium
Lineage: Bacteria
Description: partial 16S ribosomal RNA
Rfam family: Bacterial small subunit ribosomal RNA
Source: RNAcentral